AUGCUUACUUUGGCAGCACAUAUACUAAAACUGGAAGGAUACAGAGAAGAUUAGCAUGGCCCCUGUGCAAAAUAACAAGCAAAUUCAUGAAGCAUUCCAUAUUUUU
Saimiri boliviensis boliviensis (Bolivian squirrel monkey) is the source of this 106-nucleotide small nuclear RNA. Lineage: Eukaryota; Metazoa; Chordata; Mammalia; Primates; Cebidae. The record is from Ensembl.